This 119-nucleotide ribosomal RNA is filed under the name Physeter macrocephalus (sperm whale). The record is from RNAcentral. Lineage: Eukaryota; Metazoa; Chordata; Mammalia; Artiodactyla; Physeteridae.
AUCUAUGGCCAUACUACCCUGAACGCGUGGGAUCUCAUCUGAUCUUGGAAGCUAAGCGGGGUCGGGCCUGGUUAGUACUUGGGUGGGAGACUGUCUGGGAAUACCUGGUGCUGUAGGCA